RNAcentral lists this ribosomal RNA (1354 nucleotides) under uncultured bacterium. RNAcentral's name for it is "bacterial SSU rRNA". It matches the Rfam family "Bacterial small subunit ribosomal RNA", at positions 67 to 1372 of the family's 1533-position model. The record is from RNAcentral.
CGGUAUGGACCUUUCGGGGUUCAGAGGGUGGCGAACGGGUGAGUAACACGUAGGUAAUCUACCCUCAAGACGGGGACAACCCAGGGAAACUUGGGCUAAUACCGGAUGUGUGUAGUGGCUAUUUUUCUGAUUAUCAUUAUUUACGUAAGUGAGUAAUAAUAAGAAGGGAAAGUGGUUAUUACAUAAAAGGUGGCGUAACUGCCGCUUGGGGAUGAGCCUGCGUCCUAUUAGUUAGUUGGUGAGGUAACGGCUUACCAAGGCGAUGAUAGGUAGGCGGCCUUAACGGGUGGUCGCCCACACUGGGAUUGAGAUACGGCCCAGACUCCUACGGGAGGCAGCAGUCGAGAAUAGUCUACAAUGGACGGAAGUCUGAUAGUGCGACGCCGCGUGAACGAAGAAUCCCUUCGGGGUGUAAAGUUCUUUUAUACGUGAGCAGUGUCCUUUAUAUUAAUAGUAUAAGGGGAGAGAUAUUAGCGUAUGAAUAAGCAACGGCUAACUCCGUGCCAGCAGCCGCGGUAACACGGGGGUUGCGAGCGUUGUCCGGAAUUACUAGGCGUAAAGUGCAGGUAGGCGGAUAAAUAAGUUUAAGGUUAAAGGCUACGGCUUACCCGUAGUAAGGCGUUAGAUACUGUUUAUCUGGAAUGCGGUUGAGGGAGACAGAAUUCCUGGUGUAGCGGUGGAAUGCGCAGAGAUCAGGAGGAAUACCGAAGGCGAAGGCAGUCUUCUAAGCCGAUAUUGACGCUAAACUGCGAAGGUGUGGGGAUCAAACAGGAUUAGAUACCCUGGUAGUCCACACAGUAAACGAUAAUCACUAGGUGUUGGGUUCUUAAGAGGAUUCAGUGCCGGACUAACGCGAUAAGUGAUUCGCCUGGGGAGUACGAUCGCAAGGUUGAAACUCAAAGGAAUUGACGGGGGCCCGCACAAGCGGUGGAGCAUGUGGUUUAAUUCGAUACAAAGCGAAAAACCUUACCAAGGUUUGACAUGUACCUGCACGGUCUAGGAAACUAGAUCUCUUCGAGAGUGGUACACAGGUGAUGCAUGGCUGUCGUCAGCUCGUGUCGUGAGACGUCCACUUAAGUGUGGUAACGAGCGCAACCCUUGCCAAGUGUUAUAAGUAUCACUUGGGACUGCCCCGCUUCUUGCGGGGAGGAAGGAGAGGAUGAUGUCAAGUCAGCACGUCCCUUACAUCUUGGGCUACACACAUCCUACAAUGGAGCCGACAACGGGUCGCGACGCCGCGAGGCUGAGCUAAUCCUAAUAAACGGCCCCUCAAUUCGGAUUGCAGGCUGCAAUUUGCCUGCAUGAAGUCGGAAUCGGUAGUAAUCGCAAAUCAGCAGGUUGCGGUGAAUACGUU